Molecule: long non-coding RNA, 736 nt
Filed under: Ananas comosus (pineapple)
Lineage: Eukaryota; Viridiplantae; Streptophyta; Magnoliopsida; Poales; Bromeliaceae
Description: long non-coding RNA (ACOM_LNC024517)
Source: RNAcentral
GUUAGACUUGAUCUACACUAUUGAAAGUAUUUGAAAACUAAAUUUCAUAAUUUUUUGACAUCAUUUACCUAUCAAACAAGUAGUCUAAAAAUCAACGGCUGAAAAUAAAAAUUUUAUAAAAAAUGAUGAUAAAAGACUUGAAUUUAAGAUCAGCGAUACUGAUCUUACUCUAAAUAGUUAAAAAAAAUUUCUAUAAAAAUUUCAUUAAUUUGGAUUGUUUUACAUCGUUAAAUUUACAAAUGCAUCACAUCUAUCGUUAAAAUUGUCAAUUUUGAGACCUUUUAAUCAAUAGCCAAAUAAUGUCAAAAAAUUAUGAAAUUUAGUUUCUAAAUACUUUUAAUAGUGUAGAUCAAGUCUAACGGAGCCGAUCGUCGAUUUGAAAGCCGCAUCAUUGAAAACAACUUGGUAGCACGGAGACCUCCGUGCUACCGAUAGUAUACCAACCUAGCUCUAUAUAUAUAUAUAUAUAUAGAGGCUGGAGCUACUAUACUCUUAUGAGUAUAGACCUCCUUGUACUCAUAAAUUUUUAACCGUUGAUUGAUAGGAUGUGUGGUUAGGAUGAUGGUGGUUCCCACUUAAAAUAAUAGUGAUCCCCUAGGAUUGAGUGAGUAGUUAGUUUAAUAGUAUGAUCUAACGGGUGGAAAUGAUCAAUAAAAUAAAUUUAAAAUUUAUAAGUAUAACGAUGCCAAUACUCAUAAAAGUUGUAAUGUGAAAGCGAUGUGCGAAUACUGUGAUU